UGUGAACCGGUUCUACGCUUUGGGCUUCAAGCAGUCAACAGCGGAAUAUUUAGAAGUGGUUGCAGGAUGUCUGGUGUUAACUUUGUUUCUGAUAACCUGUACAUCAUGCAUCUUUGGCAAAUAUUCGAAAUGCAAAAUGUGAGCGACAUGAACCCAAUGUCAUCACUGCAUGAAGAGCAAGAGCCAAUAAGGUGAGCUGGAUGAACCCAAUGCCAUCACUGCAUGGAGAUCAAAGGCCAACAAGGUGAGCGGGAUGAACCCAAUGUCAUCAGUGCAUGGAGAUCAAAGACCAACAAGGUGAGCGGAAUGAACCCAAUGUCAUGGAGAGCAAGAGCCAACAAGGUAAUGUUUAAAUAAAUGUUACAGUAAGAGACACUGUGGAUAUAGCAAGAGAUGAAGGAAAAGGAAUGUUUUUUUUUUAUGUUAUUUCUUAUUUUAGUUUUGUAAUUUAUUAAAUGGAAAUAUAGAUACUGAAUGUACCUUUAUAGACAGUGGAUUCAGUUAUUAUUAAGGGAUUUAAAGGCCUCUUUUGUUUUAAGUACUACUUGUAUAUCAUGUUAUGAAAAAAAAAGAAGUGUCAAAGCCAGGUUUGAU
This 594-nucleotide long non-coding RNA is filed under the name Penaeus japonicus. Its description in RNAcentral is "uncharacterized LOC122259106". Lineage: Eukaryota; Metazoa; Arthropoda; Malacostraca; Decapoda; Penaeidae. The record is from RNAcentral.